Molecule: transfer RNA, 73 nt
Filed under: Erinaceus europaeus (western European hedgehog)
Lineage: Eukaryota; Metazoa; Chordata; Mammalia; Eulipotyphla; Erinaceidae
Description: tRNA-Tyr (GTA) (tRNA-Tyr-GTA-9-1)
Rfam family: tRNA
About the family: Transfer RNA (tRNA) molecules are approximately 80 nucleotides in length.
Source: RNAcentral
CUUUUGAUAGCUCAGCUGGUAGAGCAGAAGACUGUAGAUCCUUAGGUCGCUGGUUCGAUUCCGGUUCAAAAGA